UUCUGAUUUAUUGUUUUCCAAUUGUUGCGAUUGUUGUUGGAAUGUUUAACUGCGCUCAAAAAGUUUCUUUGCGAAAUUCGACUGAUAAGAUGGAGAAGAAGAGUAGGAGAAGAGUUGCCAAAUCGAGUGUUCGGCAAAACAAAGUUUACCCAAUUCAGGAUGACAAAGAUUUGCCUGCGACGAAAUGUGACUCCUGGAUCAAAGGGGAGUCGCCGUUGCGAGCAAAUAAUCCGAAAGAAGGAGGAAGGUCUAUCGGAUAUUUAAGACGUUUAUUCCAUAGAUUCUUGUUAUGUUGUUGCUGCAUUUCGGUUGAGAUUUCUGAUUAGAAGAUUUAAGAACCGGAGUGAAGAAAGAACCUUUAGUGGUUCGAGGAGAUAACUACACUUUACUCCAUUUGUACCGUCUGUAUAACAGGACGUUUUUGGAUAUUAGCAUAAAGUUUUGAACUUAUUAUACCUCACAAUAAUUAGAAUGGUCGGAAGAGGUGUUAUUUGCGCUAUGUUUUGGUGUAUUAAUUACAAGAUAUAAAGUGAUCGCGAGUCGUUUUACCGACACCCUAAAGACAAACAAGUAUGAAUUCAAUGCGUUAUUAAUAGUAGAAUGACUGAUUUAGACGAGAUUUUGAAAACGAAACGGCCAGAAUAUUUAAAUAGAAAUUAUUCCGACCAUUUUACAGGGAAAGAUUUCAGAA
Molecule: long non-coding RNA, 691 nt
Organism: Centruroides sculpturatus (bark scorpion)
Lineage: Eukaryota; Metazoa; Arthropoda; Arachnida; Scorpiones; Buthidae
Exons: 5
Source: RefSeq, a predicted model, not a curated record